UUCCCUGUACAUAUUUUUUUUCGGACAUGAGACUCCACAAAUAUGAUUAUAAAAAUUUCAGAACCUUGCAAGCUUUUCGGGAGGGAAGGGUGUUUGUGUUCUUGAUUCCUUUGGAAAGGAUCUUAUUUAUCUGGAUUAUGUAAAUCUUUAUGUUUAUCUAUACAUACAUACAGGCAUUUACACACAUGCAUACAUAAAGGGCACUCCCGAGAAUAGGAUAAACAGGAAUUUUUGAGAAGUUGUGAGUAUUGUUUAAAAUCUUGGCUCAUUUUUCAGAGAACGUAGUGUUCAAAUUUUAAAGCCACGUUGAGAAAAGAAUAAACCUUGUUGUGAUGAGGAAUAAAUCUGGCACAUUAAAGGCAAAAUACUUUCAAAUCUUCAAUGAAAAGAUCUCACAUCUAACCACCUGAGAAUUGAUUGGGAAUAUACCUGCCAUAGAAAAAUGCCACAUGUGUGAGGGUGGAUGCGACUGUGGCAAAUCCAAAGCCAUAGGUGAGAGCAAAAAACAUGCUUAAGUGAAUCUGUCCUUGCUCCUGAUACUUUGCUAGAUCUAGCUCAUACUUGCCCGUAACAAUAGCUGAUAUGUUGUAUAUUUUACCUCUGGCUGUAAACAAGUGUGACGAGAAAAUCGGAAAUCUACUUGCAUUGUACAUGUCAAAUGCCCAGUAUGCUGUUGGGAUUGCCGUGUAAACUACCAAUACGUAGAAUAUCACUAUGUAGCCUGCAAAAAUGUUGACGAUGGAGAAGAAAGGGCUGGUGAGGGGGCUGAACAAGAAAUAUGACACAGCAGACCAGUCAAGUGUCAGAGCGCCAAGUCCAAGGCCUUCCAUGCCAGAACCGAGCUGCUGGGCUGUAACUGACUUGGAGAAUACCCAGCAGACCCAUGAUAUGCUUGUGAGUGUAGAGAAGAGGUACCCUGGGACCAGGUACCAUGAGAAACUGCAGAUUAAUGCAAUCAGGAAGAACUUUGCCCGUGACAUACGCUCAUUCUCAUGUUCAUGCAAAGCCCUGCAAAUGUGUAUGUCAGAAUUUUAUGUAGAUGAAGUUUAUAUCAAGGAUUAAAAGAGUUAUUUUUUUAUGCCUA
This is a long non-coding RNA of Carya illinoinensis, 1084 nucleotides long. RefSeq lists it as uncharacterized. NCBI's taxonomy places the organism in Eukaryota, Viridiplantae, Streptophyta, Magnoliopsida, Fagales, Juglandaceae. The transcript is spliced from 2 exons. The record is from RefSeq and is a predicted model, not a curated record.